This 432-nucleotide ribosomal RNA is filed under the name uncultured bacterium. RNAcentral's name for it is "partial 16S ribosomal RNA". It matches the Rfam family "Bacterial small subunit ribosomal RNA", at positions 29 to 506 of the family's 1533-position model. The record is from RNAcentral.
AACGAACGCUAGCGGCAUGCCUAACACAUGCAAGUCGAACGAGACCUUCGGGUCUAGUGGCGCACGGGUGCGUAACGCGUGGGAACCUGCCCUUAGGUUCGGAAUAACUCCCCGAAAGGGGUGCUAAUACCGGAUAAUGUCUUCGGACCAAAGAUUUAUCGCCUUUGGAUGGGCCCGCGUUGGAUUAGCUAGUUGGUAGGGUAAAAGCCUACCAAGGCGACGAUCCAUAGCUGGUCUGAGAGGAUGAUCAGCCACACUGGGACUGAGACACGGCCCAGACUCCUACGGGAGGCAGCAGUGGGGAAUAUUGGACAAUGGGCGAAAGCCUGAUCCAGCAAUGCCGCGUGAGUGAUGAAGGCCUUAGGGUUGUAAAGCUCUUUUACCCGGGAUGAUAAUGACAGUACCGGGAGAAUAAGCUCCGGCUAACUCCGU